This 113-nucleotide small nucleolar RNA is filed under the name Sphaeramia orbicularis (orbiculate cardinalfish). RNAcentral's name for it is "Small nucleolar RNA SNORD67 (ENSSORG00005000780.1)". It matches the Rfam family "Small nucleolar RNA SNORD67". Rfam says of the family: snoRNA HBII-166 belongs to the C/D family of snoRNAs. The record is from Rfam by way of RNAcentral. Lineage: Eukaryota; Metazoa; Chordata; Actinopteri; Kurtiformes; Apogonidae.
UGUGACAGUGAUGAGUUGCACUAUUAGUCGGGUUGCUGAUUGCGGCGGCACAGUGAACCCAUCCUGAUAACCUGUGGUGACACUGACUGUGCACAGGGGCCAUCUGAGUCACC